UAAGCCCGGGAAACUGGGUCUAAUACUGGAUGCUACAUGUCACCGCAUGGUGGUGUGUGGAAAGGGUUUACUGGUCUUGGAUGGGCUCACGGCCUAUCAGCUUGUUGGUGAGGUAAUGGCUCACCAAGGCGACGACGGGUAGCCGGCCUGAGAGGGUGACCGGCCACACUGGGACUGAGACACGGCCCAGACUCCUACGGGAGGCAGCAGUGGGGAAUAUUGCACAAUGGGCGAAAGCCUGAUGCAGCGACGCCGCGUGAGGGAUGACGGCCUUCGGGUUGUAAACCUCUUUCAGCAGGGAAGAAGCCACAAGUGACGGUACCUGCAGAAGAAGCGCCGGCUAACUACGUGCCAGCAGCCGCGGUAAUACGUAGGGCGCAAGCGUUGUCCGGAAUUAUUGGGCGUAAAGAGCUCGUAGGCGGUUUGUCGCGUCUGCUGUGAAAGCCCGGGGCUUAACCCCGGGUGUGCAGUGUGUACGGGCAGACUAGAGUGCAGUAGGGGAGACUGGAAUUCCUGGUGUAGCGGUGGAAUGCGCAGAUAUCAGGAGGAAC
RNAcentral lists this ribosomal RNA (551 nucleotides) under Kocuria sp. DNPS_5. RNAcentral describes it as "bacterial SSU rRNA". It matches the Rfam family "Bacterial small subunit ribosomal RNA", at positions 144 to 707 of the family's 1533-position model. The record is from RNAcentral. Lineage: Bacteria; Bacillati; Actinomycetota; Actinomycetes; Micrococcales; Micrococcaceae.